This 2756-nucleotide ribosomal RNA is filed under the name Klebsiella pneumoniae. RNAcentral describes it as "bacterial LSU rRNA". It matches the Rfam family "Bacterial large subunit ribosomal RNA". The record is from RNAcentral. Lineage: Bacteria; Pseudomonadati; Pseudomonadota; Gammaproteobacteria; Enterobacterales; Enterobacteriaceae.
CUAUCGUUAACUGAAUACAUAGGUUAACGAGGCGAACCGGGGGAACUGAAACAUCUAAGUACCCCGAGGAAAAGAAAUCAACCGAGAUUCCCCCAGUAGCGGCGAGCGAACGGGGAGCAGCCCAGAGUCUGAAUCAGCUUGUGUGUUAGUGGAACGGUCUGGAAAGUCCGACGGUACAGGGUGAUAGUCCCGUACACCAAAAUGCACAGGUUGUGAACUCGAAGAGUAGGGCGGGACACGUGGUAUCCUGUCUGAAUAUGGGGGGACCAUCCUCCAAGGCUAAAUACUCCUGACUGACCGAUAGUGAACCAGUACCGUGAGGGAAAGGCGAAAAGAACCCCGGCGAGGGGAGUGAAAAAGAACCUGAAACCGUGUACGUACAAGCAGUGGGAGCACCUUCGGGUGUGACUGCGUACCUUUUGUAUAAUGGGUCAGCGACUUAUAUUCUGUAGCAAGGUUAACCGUAUAGGGGAGCCGCAGGGAAACCGAGUCUUAACUGGGCGUUAAGUUGCAGGGUAUAGACCCGAAACCCGGUGAUCUAGCCAUGGGCAGGUUGAAGGUUGGGUAACACUAACUGGAGGACCGAACCGACUAAUGUUGAAAAAUUAGCGGAUGACUUGUGGCUGGGGGUGAAAGGCCAAUCAAACCGGGAGAUAGCUGGUUCUCCCCGAAAGCUAUUUAGGUAGCGCCUCGUGAACUCAUCUUCGGGGGUAGAGCACUGUUUCGGCUAGGGGGUCAUCCCGACUUACCAACCCGAUGCAAACUACGAAUACCGAAGAAUGUUAUCACGGGAGACACACGGCGGGUGCUAACGUCCGUCGUGAAGAGGGAAACAACCCAGACCGCCAGCUAAGGUCCCAAAGUCAUGGUUAAGUGGGAAACGAUGUGGGAAGGCACAGACAGCCAGGAUGUUGGCUUAGAAGCAGCCAUCAUUUAAAGAAAGCGUAAUAGCUCACUGGUCGAGUCGGCCUGCGCGGAAGAUGUAACGGGGCUAAACCAUGCACCGAAGCUGCGGCAGCGACACUAUGUGUUGUUGGGUAGGGGAGCGUUCUGUAAGCCUGCGAAGGUGUGCUGUGAGGCAUGCUGGAGGUAUCAGAAGUGCGAAUGCUGACAUAAGUAACGAUAAAGCGGGUGAAAAGCCCGCUCGCCGGAAGACCAAGGGUUCCUGUCCAACGUUAAUCGGGGCAGGGUGAGUCGACCCCUAAGGCGAGGCCGAAAGGCGUAGUCGAUGGGAAACAGGUUAAUAUUCCUGUACUUGGUGUUACUGCGAAGGGGGGACGGAGAAGGCUAUGUUAGCCGGGCGACGGUUGUCCCGGUUUAAGCAUGUAGGCUGGUUGUCCAGGCAAAUCCGGAUAAUCAAGGCUGAGGUGUGAUGACGAGGCACUACGGUGCUGAAGUAACAAAUGCCCUGCUUCCAGGAAAAGCCUCUAAGCAUCAGGUAACAUUAAAUCGUACCCCAAACCGACACAGGUGGUCAGGUAGAGAAUACCAAGGCGCUUGAGAGAACUCGGGUGAAGGAACUAGGCAAAAUGGUGCCGUAACUUCGGGAGAAGGCACGCUGGUGUGUAGGUGAAGUCCCUGCGGAUGGAGCUGAGACCAGUCGAAGAUACCAGCUGGCUGCAACUGUUUAUUAAAAACACAGCACUGUGCAAACACGAAAGUGGACGUAUACGGUGUGACGCCUGCCCGGUGCCGGAAGGUUAAUUGAUGGGGUUAUCCGUAAGGAGAAGCUCUUGAUCGAAGCCCCGGUAAACGGCGGCCGUAACUAUAACGGUCCUAAGGUAGCGAAAUUCCUUGUCGGGUAAGUUCCGACCUGCACGAAUGGCGUAAUGAUGGCCAGGCUGUCUCCACCCGAGACUCAGUGAAAUUGAACUCGCUGUGAAGAUGCAGUGUACCCGCGGCAAGACGGAAAGACCCCGUGAACCUUUACUAUAGCUUGACACUGAACAUUGAGCCUUGAUGUGUAGGAUAGGUGGGAGGCUUUGAAGCGUGGACGCCAGUCUGCGUGGAGCCAACCUUGAAAUACCACCCUUUAAUGUUUGAUGUUCUAACGUUGGCCCCUGACCGGGGUUGCGGACAGUGUCUGGUGGGUAGUUUGACUGGGGCGGUCUCCUCCCAAAGCGUAACGGAGGAGCACGAAGGUUAGCUAAUCCUGGUCGGACAUCAGGAGGUUAGUGCAAUGGCAUAAGCUAGCUUGACUGCGAGCGUGACGGCGCGAGCAGGUGCGAAAGCAGGUCAUAGUGAUCCGGUGGUUCUGAAUGGAAGGGCCAUCGCUCAACGGAUAAAAGGUACUCCGGGGAUAACAGGCUGAUACCGCCCAAGAGUUCAUAUCGACGGCGGUGUUUGGCACCUCGAUGUCGGCUCAUCACAUCCUGGGGCUGAAGUAGGUCCCAAGGGUAUGGCUGUUCGCCAUUUAAAGUGGUACGCGAGCUGGGUUUAGAACGUCGUGAGACAGUUCGGUCCCUAUCUGCCGUGGGCGCUGGAGAAUUGAGGGGGGCUGCUCCUAGUACGAGAGGACCGGAGUGGACGCAUCACUGGUGUUCGGGUUGUCAUGCCAAUGGCACUGCCCGGUAGCUAAAUGCGGAAGAGAUAAGUGCUGAAAGCAUCUAAGCACGAAACUUGCCCCGAGAUGAGUUCUCCCUGAGACUUUAAGUCUCCUGAAGGAACGUUAAAGACGAUGACGUUGAUAGGCCGGGUGUGUAAGCGCAGCGAUGCGUUGAGCUAACCGGUACUAAUGAACCGUGAGGCUUAACCUU